This is a long non-coding RNA of Syngnathus acus (greater pipefish), 804 nucleotides long. RefSeq lists it as uncharacterized. Lineage: Eukaryota; Metazoa; Chordata; Actinopteri; Syngnathiformes; Syngnathidae. The transcript has 5 exons. The record is from RefSeq and is a predicted model, not a curated record.
CCUUCUUUCUCUCCACUUCAGAGUGCUGCGUCAGAAGGCUCUCUAUCUCACUGUCCCUACUGUUGGCAGCAUGGCUUCGGGGUAAAGUGCUAGGCUUUGACAAGACUGUCCUUUUCACACCUUUCCACUGAGUUUAGAAAACGGCACUGAAAAUCCAGGGCAAGAUGCUGAGGAAAGGGAAUAAGUAUGCACAUUGCUCCGCUCAGGGGCUUUGUCUUCACUCUCAACUUUUGCUGCUCCGAUGUGUCCUUGUCCUGCGCCAGAGGCUUUGCUUUGGUGCUGGCUCUGUGCUGCAUGCAAGAGCGGUUACCUUGGAGGUCCUUUCUUGAAUUGCAGUUCUGGACUCCAGGUCGACCCAGACGGGAUGAGGACUUGGACAUCUUACCCACCGGCGAACCUAUCCAGUAAAAACUACCUUGUGAUAAUUUCCACUGGGCAAGCUUGGUGUUAUCCCCUGCAGCCUUUGCAGAAGAUGCUGUUUGCCACUUGUUCAUUGAGGCAGAAGAUCAGUGAGAUGCGUGUUUGCAUGAGAGUUUUUUUUGGAUUGAAUUGGCCUCCUGUCAGAAACAAAAUUGUUAUAAUGCCAGAGCUAAACCGCAUUAACACUAGUAAUGUUAACAAGCAAACAUGACAUAAUGUUAACAAGCAAACAUGACAAAAAAAUCUUGUUCACGUAAUAAACAUUAGGUAUGGUGUUUGUAUUUGUCUAUUCUCAGUUGGAAUCAAUAUUUCAAAGACUUGAAUCUGAAAGAAUCAAUUUGUGAUGUAUUAUUGUCCUUGAUAGUAAACUAAAAGUGGCUUCUA